Molecule: long non-coding RNA, 1553 nt
Organism: Manihot esculenta (cassava)
Lineage: Eukaryota; Viridiplantae; Streptophyta; Magnoliopsida; Malpighiales; Euphorbiaceae
Exons: 2
Source: RefSeq, a predicted model, not a curated record
CUCUCUAAUCCUUGGCUUCCGUCAUCGUCAAUUUGCAAACUCUUCGACAAAAAUAAAAAAAUUUUGCAAACUCUCUCUGUGCGCAGCGGAGAGCCCACCACGCAAUUAUGUCUCUCUUCAGUAAGCUUCGAACUCUUCAAACCUCACCAUCUCCUCUUUACAGCAACACAUUUCCCUCUUUUCUUUGCAUUUCUUCCACCAUAGCCCAACUCUCAAUGAUGCCACCUUCUUCAUCUUUUGAGAUGUUUGGUUACUGCUUUGGAUGUGGCAUUCAAUCGAACACUACAAGGGCAGAAGAUAGGAGGUACACGUGGACGACUGAGAUCAAAUAUCCAGAGAUGAAGUGGCUUGACCGAAAGUACGAAUUCUGACGGCUGAAAUUAAUGAAGGCUGAGAUGACUCGUGACUCGCGAGUGCAAGUUGAUGGCUCAGAUUGAGACCGCGGUGAAGACUGAACUGAUUCAAAUACAAUGGAUCGCUGAGGUUAAAGAUUAAGAACUCGAAAUGUGCAGCUUAACUGUGAUUCGAGGGCUCCAGGAAAGUUGAUGGAAAAAAACAAAAGAAGGCCACGCGUACGGUUAAUAUUCGAUAGCUGCUUGAUCGAGCAGCCAUCUAUCUGAGACUGAGGGGAGGGGGGGGAAUGUCAAAAAUAAAAGAAGCAAAAAGGGCACCUACCGUUGUAGAACCUACGGUUUGUCUGCGAAAGCCGCUCAGCCUGUCAUGAAACAGUGUCGUUUUUAGCCUAAACAAUGGAUCUUACUCGAAAAUUGUCUGUGCAUGUUGUUAGGAAGGCUUUCAACGGAACAGCACUGGCUGUGGGCCUGUGGCGAAGGCCAUGGAGAGGAAUGCUGCGCUGGUGAGUUAAAUGUUCUCAAAUGCUUAUUAAUUCUUCGAUCGCUGCUCGAACUGGCACUUGCCAAAGCCAAAUUAAAGGGAUAAUACAGCGUCUAACAACAACCCGCAUCGCCAGUGCACAUAGAGCCUGCGAUGCAGGGGAGACAGCAAGCGCUUUUGCCAAUAUAUCUUUGCCCUUCUCAUAGUUGAUGCUAUUCAGGGUGCGGAUCUUAUGGUUCAAGCUACCAGAAGAUAGUUGCUGGAUGAACUGGAGGCAAUGCUUCAUGUGGUAAGACUCACAGCCUCCGGGAAGUAAGGUUUCUUAAGAGCAGGAGCUAAUCGCCUGACAGCAUUAGUGAGGAUCGAAGUGCAGCAGGUGUGGCAGACGUUGUCCAAAUGUUUGGUCACGAGGAGAAGCCUGAUAUUGUUGCUAUUCAAGUGCGUUUGCGAGAGUCUGAGAGACCUGAUCAAGGCUGUUGUUAUAUAUGGAGCAGGCUUUCGUUGCCUCCAGAGGCCUCGGCUCUGAACCACUUCUGACUUUGUUUUUCCUCCAUUAUUAAGAUCUAAGGUAAUGAAGAUAAGUAGUAGUAAUAAUGUGCUAUUGCUCAAGCAAAAGGAGACCGUAUUUACGUGAUUUCACAUCCCUGAAGCACUAAAUUUGUGAAAUUGCUGAUCUAUUUCUUUGACUGGUGUCAUUCUCAAUGUUUUUUCUUUCCCUC